This 379-nucleotide ribosomal RNA is filed under the name uncultured eukaryote. RNAcentral describes it as "partial 18S ribosomal RNA". It matches the Rfam family "Eukaryotic small subunit ribosomal RNA", at positions 592 to 975 of the family's 1831-position model. The record is from RNAcentral.
CAAUAGCGUAUAUUAAAGUUGUUGCGGUUAAAAAGCUCGUAGUUGGAUUUCUGCUGAGAACGACCGGUCCGCCCUCUGGGUGUGUAUCUGGCUCUUUCUUGGCAUCUUCUUGGUGAACGUUGCUGCACUUGACUGUGUGGAGCGCUACCCAGGACUUUUACUUUGAGGAAAUUAGAGUGUUUCACGCAGGCAUACGCCUUGAAUACAUUAGCAUGGAAUAAUAAGAUAGGACCUCGGUUCUAUUUUGUUGGUUUCUAGAGCUGAGGUAAUGAUUAAUAGGGAUAGUUGGGGGCAUUCGUAUUUAACUGUCAGAGGUGAAAUUCUUGGAUUUGUUAAAGACGGACUACUGCGAANGNAUUUGCNAAGGAUGUUUNCAUUG